Oncorhynchus masou masou (cherry salmon) is the source of this 338-nucleotide long non-coding RNA. RefSeq lists it as uncharacterized. NCBI's taxonomy places the organism in Eukaryota, Metazoa, Chordata, Actinopteri, Salmoniformes, Salmonidae. The transcript has 3 exons. The record is from RefSeq and is a predicted model, not a curated record.
UUGAGACUGCAUGCCGGGAUCGAUACCUGUUGGUAACAACCCAACUCUCAUUUGCUGGGAAUGAACCUCGCUUUGAAGCGGUUGAUGCUGAUGGUGUUCACCCCAUCACUGAGCAGUAUGGGUCAGAGUGUGGCUACAUGUUCAGUAUCCUCCCUCUGCCUGGCCAUGCUCAACUCAGAGCCUCCUACUUCUCCUGCCACACUGACAACCAGGACGAUGAGGUGUUCACUUUUAGCUUUAACUUAAUCACGAUUGAUGCGACUGGAGUGGAAGCCACCUACUCUGUGAAUUCAACCUGCUCCCUCCCUCUACCCUGGUCCCCCAGAGAAGUCAGCUGU